This 500-nucleotide ribosomal RNA is filed under the name uncultured bacterium. Its description in RNAcentral is "partial 16S ribosomal RNA". It matches the Rfam family "Bacterial small subunit ribosomal RNA", at positions 29 to 523 of the family's 1533-position model. The record is from RNAcentral.
AUUGAACGCUGGCGGCAUGCCUUACACAUGCAAGUCGAACGGCAGCACGGGGGCAACCCUGGUGGCGAGUGGCGAACGGGUGAGUAAUACAUCGGAACGUGUCCUUUCGUGGGGGAUAACCAGUCGAAAGACUGGCUAAUACCGCAUGAGAUCUCACGAUGAAAGCGAGGGACCGCAAGGCCUCGCGCGAUUGGAGCGGCCGAUGUCGGAUUAGCUAGUUGGCGGGGUAAAAGCCCACCAAGGCGACGAUCCGUAGCUGGUUUGAGAGAACGACCAGCCACACUGGGACUGAGACACGGCCCAGACUCCUACGGGAGGCAGCAGUGGGGAAUUUUGGACAAUGGGGGCAACCCUGAUCCAGCCAUGCCGCGUGUGUGAAGAAGGCCUUCGGGUUGUAAAGCACUUUCGGACGGAACGAAAUCGCCCGUGUUAACAGCGCGGGUGGAUGACGGUACCGUAAGAAGAAGCACCGGCUAACUACGUGCCAGCCGCCGCGGUAA